Molecule: long non-coding RNA, 708 nt
Organism: Poecile atricapillus (Black-capped chickadee)
Lineage: Eukaryota; Metazoa; Chordata; Aves; Passeriformes; Paridae
Exons: 4
Source: RefSeq, a predicted model, not a curated record
GUCCAGGGGUUGGCUCCACUGUUGGUACAAGGUCUGACCCCUCAUUUGGAAUUUAAUGACCUCCCAUGCUGGCCCUGGCCAAGCACAUGCCUUCACAGCAUCUCCGGGAAAAGGGAACACAAAAUGGGAGUGUAAAGGGGUGCAAAACAGGUAUAAAGCACAACAGGUUGUAUUUGACGCCACAUUUUAUUGUGCAUGCUCACUCAAAACUCUGGGUUUGAGGCUUGUCCAAGCUUUGUGGAGGAUUUUGUGUGCUUCAGUCAGCCAGAGAGAAGAAGCACCCAGGAAAAGCUGCCUGGAUGGAUGCAGCCCCUUUGGAGACAUCUCAGUGGUGGAUGAGCAGGGAGCAAAGCCAAGCACAGAAAUCCCUGUAGUGCCUGGGGCUGGGACCAGCUGUGCUCAAGCACUGGCCUAGCUCGGGGGGCUGGCGGGAGCCACUCACGGCUUGGUCUCUUCUGGGCUCUCGUUGGUGCCCCAAGGACCACCAGGAAGCCCCCAGCCAGAUGCUAGCUGUGCCCUCAACUUCACACCCUUCAGCCCUUUGUCACCCAGGGAAGGUGACAAUCCUGCACAGCUAAAAGCCCCUGAAAAGCACCACUGAGGGCACAGCCUCACCAUUUGCAGCAGGUCCUCGUCUCCGUGAUGUUCAGGCAGUGCUCCCAGGGUGCAGAGACCACAAGCUGGGGAUUUGCUCUGCUCCCUGCCAAG